Molecule: ribosomal RNA, 253 nt
Filed under: uncultured bacterium
Lineage: Bacteria
Description: partial 16S ribosomal RNA
Rfam family: Bacterial small subunit ribosomal RNA
Source: RNAcentral
UACAGAGGCCUCGAGCGUUAGGCGGAAUCACUGGGCUUAAAGCGUGUGUAGGCGGACUUCUAAGUACCUUGUGAAACCCCACGGCUCACCCGUGGAACUGCUCGGUAUACUGGUCGUCUUGAGCCUUCUAGGGGCGAGUGGAACAAAUGGUGGAGCGGUGAAAUGCGUAGAUAUCAUUUGGAACGCCAAUGGUGAAAACAACUCGCUGGGGAAGUGCUGACGCUGAGACACGAAAGCCAGGGGAGCGAACGGG